This 183-nucleotide non-coding RNA is filed under the name Candidatus Synechococcus spongiarum LMB bulk15N. RNAcentral's name for it is "6S RNA". It matches the Rfam family "6S / SsrS RNA". Rfam says of the family: E. coli 6S RNA was the first non coding RNA to be sequenced, but its function was unknown until recently. It consists of 184 nucleotides that fold into an extended hairpin structure with a large single-stranded internal bulge. The 6S RNA specifically associates with RNA polymerase holoenzyme containing the sigma70 specificity factor. Lineage: Bacteria; Bacillati; Cyanobacteriota; Cyanophyceae; Synechococcales; Synechococcaceae. RNAcentral also lists the same sequence under 1 other name. The record is from RNAcentral.
GCGGAACUGCUGCGUUGGUCUUUGCUUUCUCCAGUGUUCUGAUCUGACUCCCUUUCGAUGUGGGAGGCAUGUCGCCACGGUGAAGUAGACUGGCCUUUGUGCCAGAAAUGGAUCCCGGCUUUUGCUUCCCCCCUGGCUGAUUCCAGGUCGAAACCUGAGGCAGGACGGCAUGGCGGUUCCAAU